This 64-nucleotide transfer RNA is filed under the name Neotoma lepida (desert woodrat). It matches the Rfam family "tRNA". From Rfam's summary of the family: Transfer RNA (tRNA) molecules are approximately 80 nucleotides in length. The record is from Rfam by way of RNAcentral. Lineage: Eukaryota; Metazoa; Chordata; Mammalia; Rodentia; Cricetidae.
GGGGAUGUGGUUCAGCUGGUAGAGUGCUUGCCUGUCAUGCAUGAAGCCCUAGGUUUCAUCCCCA